This is a small nucleolar RNA of Alosa alosa (allis shad), 98 nucleotides long. RefSeq annotates it as small nucleolar RNA U13. The transcript has a single exon. Lineage: Eukaryota; Metazoa; Chordata; Actinopteri; Clupeiformes; Clupeidae. The record is from RefSeq and is a predicted model, not a curated record.
AUUCUUCUAGGUCAUACAACAUGAUGAUUGGUCAAAUCAUGAGCUAUUCAUGAACUGUGCAGCCGCAUUGUUACGCUGUGCACAUGAACCAUCUGAUU